GAUGAACGCUAGCUACAGGCUUAACACAUGCAAGUCAAGGGGCAGCAUGGUCUUAGCUUGCUAAGGCCGAUGGCGACCGGCGCACGGGUGAGUAACACGUAUCCAACCUGCCGUCUACUCUUGGACAGCCUUCUGAAAGGAAGAUUAAUACAAGAUGGCAUCAUGAGUCCGCAUGUUCACAUGAUUAAAGGUAUUCCGGUAGACGAUGGGGAUGCGUUCCAUUAGAUAGUAGGCGGGGUAACGGCCCACCUAGUCUUCGAUGGAUAGGGGUUCUGAGAGGAAGGUCCCCCACAUUGGAACUGAGACACGGUCCAAACUCCUACGGGAGGCAGCAGUGAGGAAUAUUGAUCAAUGGGCGCAGGCCUGAACCAGCCAAGUAGCGUGAAGGAUGACUGCCCUAUGGGUUGUAAACUUCUUUUAUAAAGGAAUAAAGUCGGGUAUGUAUACCCGUUUGCAUGUACCUUAUGAAUAAGGAUCGGCUAACUCCGUG
RNAcentral lists this ribosomal RNA (490 nucleotides) under uncultured bacterium. RNAcentral's name for it is "partial 16S ribosomal RNA". It matches the Rfam family "Bacterial small subunit ribosomal RNA", at positions 28 to 507 of the family's 1533-position model. The record is from RNAcentral.